ACUCAUGUAUUUUAGUAAAUAAGUAGUUUACUUAUUUCUCUUUCUAUGCAUGAAGGAGAAUAUUCCUUUUAAUUGGCACAGCUGUGUCCAUUUCAUGGGUAUCAGUUUCUGGCCUGCACAGUACCAUUC
Small nucleolar RNA from Myodes glareolus (Bank vole), 129 nucleotides. RefSeq annotates it as small nucleolar RNA SNORA24. The record is from RefSeq and is a predicted model, not a curated record. NCBI's taxonomy places the organism in Eukaryota, Metazoa, Chordata, Mammalia, Rodentia, Cricetidae.